UACGGAGGGUGCAAGCGUUGUCCGGAUUUAUUGGGCGUAAAGCACGUGCAGGCGGCUUGUUAUGUCGAGUGUGAAAUCCCACGGCUCAACCGUGGAACUGCGCUCGAAACUGGCAAGCUUGAGUUCGGAAGGGGGAGAUGGAAUUCCCGGUGUAGGGGUGAAAUCCGUAGAUAUCGGGAAGAAUACCGGUGGCGAAGGCGAUCUCCUGGUCCGAUACUGACGCUCAGACGUGAAAGCGUGGGGAGCAAACAGAAUUAGAUACUCUGGUAGUCCACGCUGUAAACGAUGAACACUAGGUGUUGGGGGUACCAAUUCCUUCAGUGCCGUAGCUAACGCGUUAAGUGUUCCGCCUGGGAAGUACGGCCGCAAGGCUAAA
This 376-nucleotide ribosomal RNA is filed under the name uncultured bacterium. RNAcentral describes it as "bacterial SSU rRNA". It matches the Rfam family "Bacterial small subunit ribosomal RNA", at positions 524 to 898 of the family's 1533-position model. The record is from RNAcentral.